GAAGCGGCAAGAGCUCAAAUUUGAAAGCUGGCUCCUUCGGGGUCCGCAUUGUAAUUUGCAGAGGAUGCUUCGGGAGCGGUCCCCAUCUAAGUGCCCUGGAACGGGACGUCAUAGAGGGUGAGAAUCCCGUAUGGGAUGGGGUGUCCGCGCCCGUGUGAAGCUCCUUCGACGAGUCGAGUUGUUUGGGAAUGCAGCUCUAAAUGGGUGGUAAAUUUCAUCUAAAGCUAAAUAUUGGCCGGAGACCGAUAGCGCACAAGUAGAGUGAUCGAAAGAUGAAAAGCACUUUGAAAAGAGAGUUAAAAAGCACGUGAAAUUGUUGAAAGGGAAGCGCUUGCGACCAGACUCGCUCGCGGGGUUCAGCCGGCAUUCGUGCCGGUGUACUUCCCCGCGGGCGGGCCAGCGUCGGUUUGGGCGGUCGGUCAAAGGCCCUCGGAAGGUAACGCCCCUAGGGGCGUCUUAUAGCCGAGGGUGCAAUGCGACCUGCCUAGACCGAGGAACGCGCUUCGGCUCGGACGCUGGCAUAAUGGUCGUAAGCGACCCGUCUUGAAAC
This 550-nucleotide ribosomal RNA is filed under the name Penicillium sp. RNAcentral describes it as "LSU rRNA". It matches the Rfam family "Eukaryotic large subunit ribosomal RNA", at positions 95 to 660 of the family's 3401-position model. Lineage: Eukaryota; Fungi; Ascomycota; Eurotiomycetes; Eurotiales; Aspergillaceae. The record is from RNAcentral.